AGACACCCCCAACUAAUAACGCAAGAAUAAAAAUACUUCAGGUUUAACCUUUGGUACCAGGAAAUUACAACUUACAACAAUAGCAUCGCCCCGAAAAGUUAAAAAAUUAAAAUUUAUUGAGAACAAUGAAAAUCAAAUAAAAAAAUUUUAAGGGGGAUAUCCCUUACUUAACUUUAUAUCUGGAAAGAUAAAUAAAUGAAGGAAAGCUUUAACCGACUCUCAAUAUGCGUUCAGAAUUAAAAAAGAUUGAAAAAAUUUAUAUUAAUAAGUUCACAACGUAAAAAUCAAGAUUCUAAAUAUUUACUCUUCUACGUCCAUAAUGUAAUUAUUAGUACUAAAAAUUAAAAACACAACAUCAUAUUAACAAAACUUAAACAAAGCUGAAAAAUUAUUAGGCAAGAAACCCAGGAACUGUUUACCAAAAACAUAGCUUUUAGAAUUAAAAGUAAUUUCUGCUAAUUGUUUUAAAAAGCCGCUCGGCGCUAAGGUAGCGUAAUCAAAAGUUCGUUAAUUGCGAACCUGUAUGAAAGAAAAUUUCCUGGGUGUCUAUCUAUUCAGCUAAAAGAAAAUUAAGGGGUUAUGAGAUUAUACCCUACCCUGCAAGACGAGAAGACCCUACAAGUUAAUCUGAAAAAGAUUUUUUGGGGAAAAUUUUUAAGGCUUCUCUUAAAUUUAAACUUGAAAUAACACAAAAUAAUAAACUACUUUAGGGAUAACAGCACAAUGUCUAUGUAUAGACCUUAUACAAAUAGAAGUUUGUGACCUCGAUGUUGGAUUUUAAUUCUUUGGGCUGCAGAAAGUUUGAAAGAAUAGACUGUUCGUUUUUUAAAAAUAAACUUGAUCUGAGUUCAGAUCGGCGAGAGCCAGAUCGGAUUUUAUCUGCAGGUAAUGAAGGGUUUGACAGUACGAAAGGAUAGCAAAGUCUUAAUAUUUAGUAAGCGACAAUAUUAAAGCAUUAUGUACUCCUCCCCUGUGCUGAUAUUAAAGUUUGAUUCACCUAGACU
RNAcentral lists this ribosomal RNA (1004 nucleotides) under Phyllocoptes taishanensis. RNAcentral's name for it is "16S ribosomal RNA". The stretch from base 597 to 886 matches the Rfam family "Archaeal large subunit ribosomal RNA", at positions 2149 to 2717 of the family's 2987-position model. The record is from RNAcentral. Lineage: Eukaryota; Metazoa; Arthropoda; Arachnida; Trombidiformes; Eriophyidae.